CUGAAAACCCUUGCCGCACUGUUUCUCUUCUUCCUUUGAAGCCCAUCUCUCAUCGUCUUUCUUUCCUUCGUCUUCAUCGUCCAUUCUUUAUGUGAUUUCUGGCGAUAAUCUCUUCAAUCAUGUUCUAAGGUUUUGUUGCGAUCUCUCUCUCUCUCUCUUUCUUUCUUUCUCUCCUAGUUAGAUGGGGCUUUUUUCGACCUUCGUUCAAGAUCUUUAAGGCCCAGAAACUCUUGACAACAUAUCUUAGCUAAAGGCCCCAUAGUAAGGACACUUUCAACCAUCUCUCUGAAUGUUUUUCUCAUCAUUUCAUUUGAAAAGUUGGAGUAUUGAAGGAUCGCAUAUACAAACCAAAGGUAUACAGGAGCAGGACUUUUUUUUAAGUCUAUUUGAAUAGCAUAGUAUUUUAUUGUAUAUGACAAUUGAAUUGGAACAUUUUGUCAUAGUAAAUAUAUAUAUUUUUAUUUAAUUA
Long non-coding RNA from Humulus lupulus (European hop), 469 nucleotides. RefSeq lists it as uncharacterized. The record is from RefSeq and is a predicted model, not a curated record. Lineage: Eukaryota; Viridiplantae; Streptophyta; Magnoliopsida; Rosales; Cannabaceae. The transcript has 3 exons.